GGCGGGCGGCUUACACAUGCAAGUCGAGCGGGGGAGGUUGCUUCGGUAACUGACCUAGCGGCGGACGGGUGAGUAAUACUUAGGAAUCUGCCUAUUAAUGGGGGACAACAUCUCGAAAGGGAUGCUAAUACCGCAUACGCCCUACGGGGGAAAGCAGGGGAUCACUUGUGACCUUGCGUUAAUAGAUGAGCCUAAGUCGGAUUAGCUAGUUGGUGGGGUAAAGGCCUACCAAGGCGACGAUCUGUAGCGGGUCUGAGAGGAUGAUCCGCCACACUGGGACUGAGACACGGCCCAGACUCCUACGGGAGGCAGCAGUGGGGAAUAUUGGACAAUGGGGGGAACCCUGAUCCAGCCAUGCCGCGUGUGUGAAGAAGGCCUUAUGGUUGUAAAGCACUUUAAGCGAGGAGGAGGCUCUCUUGGUUAAUACCCAAGAUGAGUGGACGUUACUCGCAGAAUAAGCACCGGCUAACUCUGUGCCAGCAGCCGCGGUAAUACAGAGGGUGCGAGCGUUAAUCGGAUUUACUGGGCGUAAAGCGUGCGUAGGCGGCUUUUUAAGUCGGAUGUGAAAUCCCCGAGCUUAACUUGGGAAUUGCAUUCGAUACUGGGAAGCUAGAGUAUGGGAGAGGAUGGUAGAAUUCCAGGUGUAGCGGUGAAAUGCGUAGAGAUCUGGAGGAAUACCGAUGGCGAAGGCAGCCAUCUGGCCUAAUACUGACGCUGAGGUACGAAAGCAUGGGGAGCAAACAGGAUUAGAUACCCUGGUAGUCCAUGCCGUAAACGAUGUCUACUAGCCGUUGGGGCCUUUGAGGCUUUAGUGGCGCAGCUAACGCGAUAAGUAGACCGCCUGGGGAGUACGGUCGCAAGACUAAAACUCAAAUGAAUUGACGGGGGCCCGCACAAGCGGUGGAGCAUGUGGUUUAAUUCGAUGCAACGCGAAGAACCUUACC
This 944-nucleotide ribosomal RNA is filed under the name uncultured bacterium. RNAcentral's name for it is "bacterial SSU rRNA". It matches the Rfam family "Bacterial small subunit ribosomal RNA", at positions 41 to 975 of the family's 1533-position model. The record is from RNAcentral.